AUGCUGGGCAGACCUUCACAUCACUCCUGCAGGCAGAGGCUGGCAACCUCACUCCACCUAAUGGCUCUUUACAAUGUUAUGCUCAGGUGGAUGCAUGUUGGAAUGGCACCUCUGUGGGUCUCCAUCCUUCUUUGGCAGCAGCACAGAGGAAUCCAGGCAGCUCACUCUGUUCUGUUCUGGGAUACAUCAGAAGAAGUGUCCAGCUGUGAUGCAAACCAGCUUUUCCAGAAACACUCUGAGAGGCUUCGUGUUGGAAGUGAAAGCCUUGGGGUACCUUGUGCUGUCCCCAUGUGUGUGCUGUUUUGGUGGUGUGAUGGAGCAAAGGGAGCUGAUAUAAGGAGAUAGCAUCCACCCAUCAUCUCUGGAAGGAUGUGCUCAACUCUGCCAGGGUGA
RNAcentral lists this long non-coding RNA (393 nucleotides) under Coturnix japonica (Japanese quail). Its description in RNAcentral is "lncRNA (ENSCJPG00005015163.1)". The record is from RNAcentral. Lineage: Eukaryota; Metazoa; Chordata; Aves; Galliformes; Phasianidae.